UCGACUCUUCGAACAUUUUGGAUCAGCAGCAGAUAUACUUGAGAGGUUAAUGAAGCUCUCCCUGAAGUUUGGUGGGCUCACGACAGUCGUAGCUCACCUUCUCACUUUUCAAACCCUAGGCAGAAACCCUAGGGUACUCAUAGAAAACCCUGCGCCCACUUUGUUUCUUUUCUUUUCUCUCAAAAGUUUUUUGAACUUUGAUCUCACGCACAAGGCCUUCUCACACCACCCUUUUUCUCUCAGAUGUAAUCUACGCACGCCCCACCUUCUCAUCCCUUUUAAAAAAAGUGCAAGAUGCGUCUUUACAGCAUUUUCACCGCGUGAGAGGAUAAAGCUAGAUGGUUGCUCACUUGA
RNAcentral lists this long non-coding RNA (354 nucleotides) under Elaeis guineensis (African oil palm). RNAcentral describes it as "long non-coding RNA (EGUI_LNC070617)". Lineage: Eukaryota; Viridiplantae; Streptophyta; Magnoliopsida; Arecales; Arecaceae. The record is from RNAcentral.